ACUGGUUAUAAGGAUGCUCAAGGAACUUAGGGAGGACCUCAACAGCAUAAAUAAGAUCCAAAGAUCCAGUCAGAAAUGAAGUAUACACUAAUUGAAAUAAAGAACAAUUUAUAGGAAAACAACAGUAGAGCAGAUGAACCCAAGAAUUAAAUCAAGGACUUGAAACAUAAGAAACAAAAAAACAACCAAUAAGAAUAGCAAAAAGAAAAAAGAAUUUUAAAAAAUGAGGAUAGUAUAAGCAGCCUCUG
This is a long non-coding RNA of Phyllostomus discolor (pale spear-nosed bat), 248 nucleotides long. RefSeq lists it as uncharacterized. The record is from RefSeq and is a predicted model, not a curated record. Lineage: Eukaryota; Metazoa; Chordata; Mammalia; Chiroptera; Phyllostomidae. The transcript has 2 exons.